UCCGGGAUCGUCCAAAUGGCAGGACAGCGGGUUUUGGUCCCGUUAAUAGGGGUUCGAGUCCUCUUCCCGGAACCA
RNAcentral lists this transfer RNA (75 nucleotides) under Ilumatobacteraceae bacterium. RNAcentral's name for it is "tRNA-Gln". It matches the Rfam family "tRNA". Rfam says of the family: Transfer RNA (tRNA) molecules are approximately 80 nucleotides in length. Their secondary structure includes four short double-helical elements and three loops (D, anti-codon, and T loops). The record is from RNAcentral. Lineage: Bacteria; Bacillati; Actinomycetota; Acidimicrobiia; Acidimicrobiales; Ilumatobacteraceae. RNAcentral also lists the same sequence under 1 other name.